AGGGGAGGGUACGUAAACCUUUUUCUGCGGCUGAUACACAACUAAACACAACAAAGCAAAGCAGUUCGCUAUUCUCUUUAACUGGAAAGCAGAAGGCCUGCUCCUGAGAGCACGUGUCAUCCCCAAUGAUGCAGCAUGAGAGCGCCGCCACACUAGAGGAUGAAGGGGAGAGGGGAUGAAAUGAAAGAGGGAAGACAGAACAUGAUGGGAGGCAAUAUUGGAUCUGUGUUUGUCUGCUGGAUCUGCAACAAGUGACCUACUUUAGAAUAGCACUGAUUCACUGACGAGACACAGUAAUAUCAGACCAGAUGGACCGAUUGCCAAAAUGGAGAGCCUCUUCUUCGCUGAACAAAAAUAAAAACGCAACAUGUAAAGUGUUGGUCCCAUGUUUCAUGAGCUGAAA
This is a non-coding RNA of Oncorhynchus mykiss (rainbow trout), 403 nucleotides long. The record is from RefSeq and is a predicted model, not a curated record. NCBI's taxonomy places the organism in Eukaryota, Metazoa, Chordata, Actinopteri, Salmoniformes, Salmonidae.